GUCAAAUCUCAUUAUAACAACGAUCAUUCAUUGAGAUAAAAAAUAUUUCAUACUUGAAUGUUCAAUUGCACAAUACAUGCCAAAACUACUUAUGAAUUCACGUCCCAUAUAUGUAUGGGAAAUUUCUUCAGAAAGUAUAUAUAGCUCAAAGCUUACUAUUGACAGCCAAAUACUUGGUAUGGCGACCUUGUGCAACUAUCUUCCCCGUCUUUUUCUUCCUCAACUCAACAGUGACAGCAGCGAUUGACUUCCCAACUCGUAAUACUUUGGCUUCAAGUUCGAUUUCCUCUCCGAGAUAAGCAGCAUCCAAAUAUGAAACGCUGAUCUCAAGUGAUACACCAGUCAAUGGCGCACCUACAGUAUGAACAACAGCAGAACCCAUAAUAUCCACCAGAGUCGCCGUAGCUCCACCAUGUAGAAAAUUACCGGCAUUCACUAGACGAAGAGGGACUUUGAAUGAACAGAGAAUCCGACCCGGCUCAACAAGGUCAACCUUUAUCCCAUGGCAAACAAAGGGUUCAAUAAAUCUUGAAGGCAUGGAAUCCACUGAGGUUUCAUAGCUUCCUCCUCCUUUCUCCAAGAAUUUCUUCAACGAUUCGAUAUCCAUCUCAAUUUUGC
This 618-nucleotide unclassified non-coding RNA is filed under the name Hevea brasiliensis (rubber tree). The record is from RNAcentral. Lineage: Eukaryota; Viridiplantae; Streptophyta; Magnoliopsida; Malpighiales; Euphorbiaceae.